Long non-coding RNA from Haliotis rufescens (red abalone), 631 nucleotides. RefSeq lists it as uncharacterized. The transcript is spliced from 2 exons. The record is from RefSeq and is a predicted model, not a curated record. Lineage: Eukaryota; Metazoa; Mollusca; Gastropoda; Lepetellida; Haliotidae.
CAAGCCAUGAUGUGCUCAACUGAUUGGCCAAGCUAACCCUCAAAGUUGACCCUUUGUCUCACUGCAUGUUCUCAGUCUGCACACAUUUCCUACACAGACAAGUUGACAGGUGAAAUCAUCUAAAAUCAGGUUAGUUUAAUAUAGAUUUGUAUUGUAUGUUAUUGCAGUUAAAUGUUGCAGUAUAUUAAACCUAUAAUACUAAACUUACCUAAACGUGUUUAAUAUUAUCAUAUUCUCAGUUACAAUCUAUUUAAAUAAAUGUGGUAAACAAGACUUAUAAAUGUAAGCUUUGGUAAUUACUAAUAUAUCACUUUUCUGUCUCUUUAUUCUUGUAUGUAUGAGGAAGAAUGUAUGUGUUGUUUUAUGGAAUAGGCUAUGUUUUAAAUGCUUUUGUGAUCAGUUCUGUAUAAUCUACAGUCUGUACUAUACGGGAUCCGGAGAAAUAUUUUAACGUGUAUGUAAAUAGUUGUAUUAGUCAUUGUUAUAAACAUAUAUGUUUUAUUCAGAUAUCCGGAAUUAUAAGUUGCGGCGCUAGUCGGGAAGACACCCCAGUCUCACCCACAGGGGUGUAUAUCCUAGAUAGAUAUAAAUAUGACAAAUCCAUUGGCCGAAUAAACGUCUCUCACCCGUA